AUUGAACGCUGGCGGCAUGCCUUACACAUGCAAGUCGAACGGCAGCACGGGGGCAACCCUGGUGGCGAGUGGCGAACGGGUGAGUAAUACAUCGGAACGUGCCCCGUAGCGGGGGACAACCAGUCGAAAGACUGGCUAAUACCGCAUACGCUCCACGGAGGAAAGCAGGGGAUCGCAAGACCUUGCACUAUGGGGAGCGGCCGAUGCCCGAUUAGCUAGUUGGUGAGGAAAGGCUCACCAAGGCAACGAUCGGUAGCUGGUCUGAGAGGACGACCAGCCACACUGGGACUGAGACACGGCCCAGACUCCUACGGGAGGCAGCAGUGGGGAAUUUUGGACAAUGGGCGCAAGCCUGAUCCAGCCAUGCCGCGUGCGGGAAGAAGGCCU
This 387-nucleotide ribosomal RNA is filed under the name uncultured bacterium. RNAcentral's name for it is "bacterial SSU rRNA". It matches the Rfam family "Bacterial small subunit ribosomal RNA", at positions 29 to 417 of the family's 1533-position model. The record is from RNAcentral.